GACGGAGGAGGCAAGCGUUAUCCGGAAUUAUUGGGCGUAAAGGGUAAGUCGGCGGCUUGUCAAGUCUGGGGUCAAAGGCCACAGCUCAACUGUGGAAAGGCCCUGGAAACUGACCGGCUAGAGUGAGGUAGGGGUUGCGGGAAUUCCCGGUGUAGCGGUGAAAUGCGUAGAGAUCGGGAAGAACACCUGAGGCGGAAGCGCGCAACUGGGCCCCAACUGACGCUGAGGUACGAAAGCUAGGGGAGCGAAGGGG
This 253-nucleotide ribosomal RNA is filed under the name uncultured bacterium. RNAcentral's name for it is "partial 16S ribosomal RNA". It matches the Rfam family "Bacterial small subunit ribosomal RNA", at positions 524 to 776 of the family's 1533-position model. The record is from RNAcentral.